GACGAACGCUGGCGGCGUGCUUAACACAUGCAAGUCGAACGCUGAAGCUCAGCUUUUGUUGGGUGGAUGAGUGGCGAACGGGUGAGUAACACGUGAGUAACCUGCCUCCUUCUUUGGGAUAACGCCCGGAAACGGGUGCUAAUACUGGAUAUUCACUGGUCUUCGCAUGGGGGUUGGUGGAAAGGGUUUUUCUGGUGGGGGAUGGGCUCGCGGCCUAUCAGCUUGUUGGUGGGGUGAUGGCCUACCAAGGCUUUGACGGGUAGCCGGCCUGAGAGGGUGACCGGUCACAUUGGGACUGAGAUACGGCCCAGACUCCUACGGGAGGCAGCAGUGGGGAAUAUUGCAUAAUGGGCGCAAGCCUGAUGCAGCGACGCCGCGUGAGGGAUGGAGGCCUUCGGGUUGUGAACCUCUUUCGCUCAUGGUCAAGCCGCAACAAUGGUUGUGGUGAGGGUAGUGGGUAAAGAAGCGCCGGCUAACUACGUG
This 483-nucleotide ribosomal RNA is filed under the name uncultured bacterium. Its description in RNAcentral is "partial 16S ribosomal RNA". It matches the Rfam family "Bacterial small subunit ribosomal RNA", at positions 28 to 507 of the family's 1533-position model. The record is from RNAcentral.